Molecule: ribosomal RNA, 260 nt
Filed under: uncultured bacterium
Lineage: Bacteria
Description: partial 16S ribosomal RNA
Rfam family: Bacterial small subunit ribosomal RNA
Source: RNAcentral
GUCCACGCUGUAAACGAUGGGUACUAGACGUUGGGAAGCUUGUCUUCUUAGUGUCGCAGCUAACGCGAUAAGUACCCCGCCUGGGGAGUACGGCCGCAAGGUUAAACUCAAAGGAAUUGACGGGGCCCGCACAAGCGGUGGAGCAUGUGGUUUAAUUCGAUGCAACGCGAAAACCUUACCUGCCCUUGACAUCUGGAGAAUCCUGCAGAGAUGCGGGAGUGCCUUCGGGAACUCCAAGACAGGUGCUGCAUGGCUGUCGU